RNAcentral lists this unclassified non-coding RNA (868 nucleotides) under Amphibalanus amphitrite. Its description in RNAcentral is "uncharacterized LOC122385681, transcript variant X1". The record is from RNAcentral. Lineage: Eukaryota; Metazoa; Arthropoda; Thecostraca; Balanomorpha; Balanidae.
UCGAAAUCAACCAGCUGCUUGGUGAUCGGAACGGCGCGGCUCGUCGGGCGGUGGUCUGACCCGCCGCAGGUCAUUCGGCUCCGCCAAUCAGCGACCAGGGGCGCCGGCCGCCGGGUGCUGGAUCGGUCCAGGACCCCUGCGCCCGGCCGCAGUCGCUCCCGAUCUUCGUCCGCGAACAGUUCACGUCCGGACGCCUGGUUUCUGGUCGCGCCAUCAGCAUCAACGAGAUGCCGAGAGGGAGAGGGCGACGUCCAACCGCGUCGGGCGGAAGGACGAGAUCGGCAUUAAGAGCCAGCCGGGUUGCUGCAACAGCAAGCUCGCCUUCGGCCUCUUCUUCGGCGGGAACGGCUCAAGGGGCAGACAGCGGGACGGUGUCGAGGGAGGAAAUAUCGGCACUGAUCAAUGUCGCCGUUCGGGAGGCGGUCGGCGCCGCCACCGAGGGACUACGAGAUGUCGAGAGGAAUGGAAAAUGCAUGCCUGAUAAGACCUUAUUAGGCGAUUUUUCCAUCGAUCGAAAUCAACCAGCUGCUUGGUGAUCGGAACGGCGCGGCUCGUCGGGCGGUGGUCUGACCCGCCGCAGGUCAUUCGGCUCCGCCAAUCAGCGACCAGGGGCGCCGGCCGCCGGGUGCUGGAUCGGUCCAGGACCCCUGCGCCCGGCCGCAGUCGCUCCCGAUCUUCGUCCGCGAACACCCCCCCCCCCGGCCCACUAAUCAGGCGCUGGCGGGCAUUCGAUUUUUUUUUUUACACCUCGUUAUCAUGUACGUGAAAACUGGGUGCGGUGGUGGUGGCACCGUUUUUUCCCGCUAGAAGUGAUGGGACGCAACGGUUAGUGGAUGUAUUCGGCAGGGUUGUGUGUAUAUGUGAAAGA